UACGUAGGGCGCAAGCGUUGUCCGGAAUUAUUGGGCGUAAAGAGCUCGUAGGUGGCUUGUCGCGUCUGCCGUGAAAGCCCGCGGCUUAACUGCGGGUCUGCGGUGGAUACGGGCAGGCUAGAGGCUGGUAGGGGCAAGCGGAAUUCCUGGUGUAGCGGUGAAAUGCGCAGAUAUCAGGAGGAACACCGGUGGCGAAGGCGGCUUCCUGGACCGACACUGACGCUGAGGCGCGAAAGCUAGGGGAGCAAACGGG
Molecule: ribosomal RNA, 253 nt
Filed under: uncultured bacterium
Lineage: Bacteria
Description: partial 16S ribosomal RNA
Rfam family: Bacterial small subunit ribosomal RNA
Source: RNAcentral